GAUGAACGCUGGCGGCGUGCCUAAUACAUGCAAGUCGAGCGAACAGAUGAGGAGCUUGCUCCUCUGACGUUAGCGGCGGACGGGUGAGUAACACGUGGAUAACCUACCUAUAAGACUGGGAUAACUUCGGGAAACCGGAGCUAAUACCGGAUAAUAUAUUGAACCGCAUGGUUCAAUAGUGAAAGACGGUUUUGCUGUCACUUAUAGAUGGAUCCGCGCCGCAUUGGCUAGUUGGUAAGGUAACGGCUUACCAAGGCGACGAUGCGUAGCCGACCUGAGAGGGUGAUCGGCCACACUGGAACUGAGACACGGUCCAGACUCCUACGGGAGGCAGCAGUAGGGAAUCUUCCGCAAUGGGCGAAAGCCUGACGGAGCAACGCCGCGUGAGUGAUGAAGGUCUUCGGAUCGUAAAACUCUGUUAUUAGGGAAGAACAAAUGUGUAAGUAACUAUGCACGUCUUGACGGUACCUAAUCAGAAAGCCACGGCUAACUACG
RNAcentral lists this ribosomal RNA (495 nucleotides) under uncultured bacterium. RNAcentral describes it as "partial 16S ribosomal RNA". It matches the Rfam family "Bacterial small subunit ribosomal RNA", at positions 28 to 505 of the family's 1533-position model. The record is from RNAcentral.